Molecule: long non-coding RNA, 1530 nt
Organism: Chiroxiphia lanceolata (lance-tailed manakin)
Lineage: Eukaryota; Metazoa; Chordata; Aves; Passeriformes; Pipridae
Exons: 11
Source: RefSeq, a predicted model, not a curated record
CAUGAUUUGGGUGGUCCAUCUGCCAGCUGUAGCAUGGCUUAAGCUGGGAGCCUGAGACCGUGAGUGAGAAGUCAUCUUUCAUCCUCAGCAGGGCAGAGUUGGGCCCAUGCUGAAGGCUUCUGACAAUGCUGCUCUGCAUUCGUGGAUCUGGUACCGUCACCUCCUGUGAACUCACUGUCUCACCACUUGAGAGACUGCAAGAUCUGGCAGCUCUGCUCACCUCCAGCGCUGAACCCAGCGAAGGAAAGGCCUCCUGUGCCCCAUAACGACGUGGACACUUUCCUGCCCUGAGAUGGUUCAGCCCUUCUGCCAAGAUGUGGGCCUUGCUUACAGAGAGACAGCAGCUUGGAGGAUGGAGGUAGUCGAAACGAGAUGCCUUUGAAUGUGAGCAGAAUAACCAGAAUACAGCAAUUCAUAUACAGAACAAGACUGAUUUUAUGGGCCCACAGCCCUGGAAGCUGGUUUCCACCAGGAGGGGCCACUGUGCCUUUCCCACUGUUGCCUGAGCUCUGGCACUGCUCCACAUCAUGCAGGAGAGGGACAGCUAAAGAAGGAUGGGCAGAGUGAAAUUCCACCCAAAGCAGUUUCAUUCAGCCGUCCCCACAUUCUCCUAAAACCUCCCCCUGCCUCCCUUCUGCUAAGCCCUGUUGGAGAACCAGAGCAGAGAUGACAGAAUCCCAGUGGAGCACUUACCAAUGAUUGGCACCAAGAGAACAUCUGGUGUGGGCAGUGGCUGGAGCUCAGCAUCCUAGCAAGGUGCUUUCUGGAAGGAAGGAACACCUGAGAUCUCUCAUCCCUGAGAAUAACUCCCUGUGCAUUAGCACCACCAAACUACUGAGGAAUUCCAGGCCACAUGUGACCUCUGGCUCUGCAAGGAUCAGCCUCGCUGGAGCUCCUCCGUGUGACAUGUGAAGCUCCUGUGUCGCAACAGCCCCGCUACCGGCUCCUGGGGCCUGGGCCGUGGCUGUGGGCGCUGCGGCGGAGCUGGAGCCAUGGCAGAGUCUGCAGGAGGACGGGUGGGUCACGUACCACAGCGAGCUGCAGUGGAGCCAGGUGCCACAUGGGAGAAGGUCAAUAAAGCAGAAAACCCUGGAAGUCAAACAACUCUUCAGGGGUCAUUUGCUCAGAACGAGAACCCAGCUAUUCAGGACCAGUAGAGCCAAGGUUAAAGUAUCUGCUGGUAAAUCACUUGGCAAGGAGUUGACCAGAAAACUGAAGUUAUUAGAGCAGCUGAAGGAACUCAGCAAGCUGUUACCUCCAGCCACUCCAAGCAUCCAAGGAUCUCACAGGAGGAAUGCAGAUGCUUAAUUCUUCACAGCUCUCAGAAGGAUGCUGAAUGAACAGCAUAAUCCUCAGCCAGGACCAUAAGCCUAGACUUCAUGCCCUGCAAGUCAGCACAUCUCAAACCCCACCAAGGACACCAGGCAGUGGUUCCCUCAUGGACAACACAGCAGAUGCCAAGUGGCCACACAGAACAAAGGGGUAAGUUCCUUCUGUACUUACAUCAUUCCGUAUCACCUCCCUAGAGUC